RNAcentral lists this ribosomal RNA (633 nucleotides) under uncultured eukaryote. RNAcentral describes it as "SSU rRNA". It matches the Rfam family "Eukaryotic small subunit ribosomal RNA", at positions 341 to 999 of the family's 1831-position model. The record is from RNAcentral.
CUACCAUGGCAGUCACGGGUAACGGAGAAUUAGGGUUCGAUUCCGGAGAGGGAGCCUGAGAAACGGCUACCACAUCUACGGAAGGCAGCAGGCGCGCAAAUUGCCCAAUCCCGACACGGGGAGGCAGUGACAAGAAAUAACAACUCUAGGUUUUCUUAGAAGUGUAAUGAGGAUAAUUUACAAACCUUACCGAAUGCAAUUGGAGGGCAAGUCUGAUGCCAGCAGCCGCGGUAAUUCCAGCUCCAAUAGCGUAUAUUAAAGUUGUUGCAGUUAAAAAGCUCGUAGUUGAAGUUCUGAUUGUUCGGGUUUCUAGACAUUAGUCGGAGAUACUGACAGUCAUCCGCUUGCAAACAUAUGUUCGAUCUUUACCGGUUGGCUAUGUGAGUAAGCAUUUUACCUUGAGAAAAACAGAGUGUUCCAGGCAGGUUUGUCCGGAAUGCAUUAGCAUGGAAUAAUAGAAUAUGACUGAAGUCUAUUUAUUGGUUACAGGCUUUAGUAAUGAUUAAUAGGAACAGUCGGGGGCAUUCGUACUCAGCAGUCAGAGGUGAAAUUCUAAGAUUUGCUGAAGACGAACUAAUGCGAAAGCAUUUGCCAAGGAUGUUUUCAUUAAUCAAGAACGAAAGUUAGGGGAUC